RNAcentral lists this unclassified non-coding RNA (1106 nucleotides) under Hevea brasiliensis (rubber tree). The record is from RNAcentral. Lineage: Eukaryota; Viridiplantae; Streptophyta; Magnoliopsida; Malpighiales; Euphorbiaceae.
GCAGCACUGUUGCGAUUCACAGAACCAACAAAGCCAGAACUUCGGAGACAAGUGGGCAAGCUUGAAUUGUAUCCAUCGCUUGUUAGAGUCCUCUCCAGUGGCAGCUCACUUGCGAAGAAGCGAACAGCAAUUGCACUUGCACAGUUGUCCCAAUCCACUAGUGUAUCAGUGUCUGAUGCAACCAUUGUGGCAAAUCAGGCUAACAACUCUGUGCCACUGUUGCGGUUGAUGAACCUCUUCCCCAACAUGCCUUGGUGUUGCUCAACCUCAUCAGAGAUUGAAAAUCUAUGUGCUGUUCACGGUGCCGCUUGUUUACAUAGACACACAUUCUGCCUUAUUAAGGCAAAUGCGGUAAAGCCGCUUGUUCGGACAUUGAGUGACACAGAAACUGGUGUGGCAGAGGCUGCUCUAAUGGCACUCGAAACAUUGCUAACAGACAACAGCAGUCCAUCCCAUGCAACUGCUGCUAUUGUAGACAGUGAGGGUGUGGUGGCCAUCCUACAACUUUUGGAGAAGGGAACCCUCCCUGCCAAAACCAAAGCCCUAGACCUCUUCCAUGAAAUCGUAAAGCACAAACCGUUACAGAUCAGUGACCAAUUAUUUCAAAGGUCUGAGAGGAUCCUUGUUCAACUUCUCCAGGAAGAUGCGCUCAAAAAGAAGGUGGGGCUGGUGCUUAGACAGAUGAAUAUCAUGCCAGAUCAAUCGUCCUACUUCUGAAUUGGUUUCCAUUUGCAAACAAGAAACUAAAACAGAAACAUCUGGUUUACAACGGCAUAUCGAGAACAUCUCUCAGUGACAUGAUGGCUUCAGCCCCCUUACUACUGGCUUUGAUUUUAGGUGUAGCUCUACUGACGAGUAAGCCUGAAGAUGCCAAAUUUACACGCUUGCAAAUAUUUUUUUGUAUAUAUUCUAGAAAAAACUGAAUGCAAAUGUUUCAUAACUUCAUAGAUUGAUUAGGAAAGCAUUUAUACUAUUAUUGAUGUACAUAAUUUUCAAUUUGUCAUUGUUAGACAUGUGCAGAAGCUGUACUGUUCCAAACCAAAUUCCUUCAAUGAAAUCAUUAAAAAUUUUCUAGCUGCAUUGACAACAAUGAAAGCAUAAUUUGG